GGGGAAACCCUUGAUGCAGCAACGCCGCGUGAGGAUGACGCAUUUUGGUGUGUAAACUCCUUUUAUAUGUCAAGAAAAUGACGGUAGCAUAUGAAUAAGCACCGGCUAACUCCGUGCCAGCAUCCGCGGUAAUACGGAGGGUGCAAGCGGUUACUCGGAAUCACUGGGCGUAAAGGACGCGUAGGCGGGUUAUCAAGUCAGGUGUGAAAUCCUACAGCUUAACUGUAGAACUGCACUUGAAACUGGUAACCUAGAGUAUGGGAGGGGCAGAUGGAAUUAGUGGUGUAGGGGUAAAAUCCGUAGAUAUCACUAGGAAUACCUAAAGCGAAGGCGAUCUGCUGGAACAUAACUGACGCUAAGGCGUGAAAGCGUGGGGAGCAAACAGGAUUAGAUACCCUGGUAGUCCACGCCCUAAACGAUGAACACUAGUCGUCGUGAUGCUUGUCAUUGCGGUGAUGCACUUAACAGAUUAAGUGUUCCGCCUGGGGAGUACGGUCGCAAGAUUA
RNAcentral lists this ribosomal RNA (506 nucleotides) under uncultured Campylobacterota bacterium. RNAcentral describes it as "bacterial SSU rRNA". It matches the Rfam family "Bacterial small subunit ribosomal RNA", at positions 373 to 896 of the family's 1533-position model. Lineage: Bacteria; Pseudomonadati; Campylobacterota. The record is from RNAcentral.